UACGUAGGGUGCAAGCGUUAAUCGGAAUUACUGGGCGUAAAGCGUGCGCAGGCGGUUUUGUAAGUCUGACGUGAAAUCCCCGGGCUCAACCUGGGAAUUGCGUUGGAGACUGCAAGGCUGGAGUCUGGCAGAGGGGGGUGGAAUUCCACGUGUAGCAGUGAAAUGCGUAGAGAUGUGGAGGAACACCGAUGGCGAAGGCAGCCCCCUGGGCCAAGACUGACGCUCAUGCACGAAAGCGUGGGGAGCAAACAGG
Molecule: ribosomal RNA, 253 nt
Filed under: uncultured bacterium
Lineage: Bacteria
Description: partial 16S ribosomal RNA
Rfam family: Bacterial small subunit ribosomal RNA
Source: RNAcentral